RNAcentral lists this ribosomal RNA (254 nucleotides) under uncultured bacterium. RNAcentral's name for it is "partial 16S ribosomal RNA". It matches the Rfam family "Bacterial small subunit ribosomal RNA", at positions 524 to 776 of the family's 1533-position model. The record is from RNAcentral.
UACGUAGGGAGCAAGCGUUGUUCGGAUUUACUGGGCGUAAAGGGCGCGUAGGCGGCUCUGUAAGUCACUUGUGAAAUCUCUGAGCUUAACUCGGAACGGUCAAGUGAUACUGCAGUGCUAGAGUGCGGAAGGGGCAAUCGGAAUUCUUGGUGUAGCGGUGAAAUGCGUAGAUAUCAAGAGGAACACCAGAGGUGAAGACGGGUUGCUGGGCCGACACUGACGCUGACAGCGCGAAAGCCAGGGGAGCAAACGGG